Molecule: ribosomal RNA, 566 nt
Filed under: uncultured archaeon
Lineage: Archaea
Description: bacterial SSU rRNA
Rfam family: Archaeal small subunit ribosomal RNA
Source: RNAcentral
CGGGGUGCAGCAGGCGCGAAAACUCUACAAUGCAGGCAACUGCGAUAGGGGGACAUCGAGUGGCAUCCACCUUGGGUGCCUGUCCAACCGUCUAAAAAACGGUUGUUAGCAAGGGCCGGGUAAGACCGGUGCCAGCCGCCGCGGUAAUACCGGCGGCUCGAGUGGUGGCCGAUAUUAUUGAGUCUAAAGGGUCCGUAGCCGGCUUUGCAAGUCCCCUGGGAAAUCCAGCGGCUUAACCGUUGGGCUUUCAUGGGAUACUACAUUGCUUGGGACUGGGAGAGGUAGGAGGUACUCGGGGGGUAGGGGUGAAAUCCUGUAAUCCUCCGGGGACCACCGGUGGCGAAGGCGUCCUACCAGAACAGGUCCGACGGUGAGGGACGAAAGCUAGGGGCACGAACCGGAUUAGAUACCCGGGUAGUCCUAGCCGUAAACGAUGCCCGCUAGGUGUCACGACGGUCGUGAAUCGUCGUGGUGCCGUAGGGAAGCCGCGAAGCGGGCCACUUGGGAAGUACGGCCGCAAGGCUGAAACUUAAAGGAAUUGGCGGGGGAGCACAAGGGCGAAUUCG